GGAUGUGAGACGAUCUGGCUGCAACAUCUGUCACCCCAUUGAUCGCCAGAGGGUGGAGUGGCCAGGGCGGGUGUCCCUUCCUCCCUCAGUGGUCCGUCCAUGUGCAUCCCUCCUGAAGCUGCUCAGUCGAAGAGGAUGAACACCCCCUAGAGAAGGACCGUUCCUCCAUCAAGGGUAUGUGAGCAGCUGCACUCCCCUGCUAGAACCUCUAAAAUAAAAUUUAAAAAUUGAUCUAAAUAAUCAUGUGCUUUUAAAAUACUCAAUAUUCAAAGUCUCCUAAAAAUCACAAAGGUAUGCUAACUUGUUCCAAAUUUU
Molecule: unclassified non-coding RNA, 315 nt
Organism: Cavia aperea (Brazilian guinea pig)
Lineage: Eukaryota; Metazoa; Chordata; Mammalia; Rodentia; Caviidae
Gene: 7SK
Rfam family: 7SK RNA
About the family: 7SK was discovered as an abundant small nuclear RNA in the mid-70s but a possible function has only recently been suggested.
Source: Ensembl